GGACGCGCUGAGCACUGGCCUGAGCUCAACUGACUGUAAAUCAGCCGCAUCCAAAUAAGCCUGUGUAGGUUCGAGUCCUACCGCGUCCACAA
Molecule: transfer RNA, 92 nt
Filed under: Burkholderia ubonensis
Lineage: Bacteria; Pseudomonadati; Pseudomonadota; Betaproteobacteria; Burkholderiales; Burkholderiaceae
Description: tRNA-Tyr
Rfam family: tRNA
About the family: Transfer RNA (tRNA) molecules are approximately 80 nucleotides in length. Their secondary structure includes four short double-helical elements and three loops (D, anti-codon, and T loops).
Source: RNAcentral